AACGAACGCUGGCGGCAGGCCUAACACAUGCAAGUCGAACGGACUCUUCGGAGUUAGUGGCGCACGGGUGAGGAACACGUGGGAAUGUACCCCUUGGUAAGGAAUAACAUCUGGAAACGGAUACUAAUACCUUAUAAUGACUUCGGUCCAAAGAUUUAUCGCCAAGGGAUCAGCCCGCGCAUGAUUAGUUUGUUGGUGAGGUAAUGGCUCACCAAGACUACGAUCAUUAGCUGGUCUGAGAGGAUGAUCAGCCACACUGGAACUGAGACACGGUCCAG
This 278-nucleotide ribosomal RNA is filed under the name uncultured bacterium. RNAcentral's name for it is "partial 16S ribosomal RNA". It matches the Rfam family "Bacterial small subunit ribosomal RNA", at positions 29 to 334 of the family's 1533-position model. The record is from RNAcentral.